Molecule: ribosomal RNA, 1377 nt
Filed under: Triticum aestivum (bread wheat)
Lineage: Eukaryota; Viridiplantae; Streptophyta; Magnoliopsida; Poales; Poaceae
Description: partial small subunit ribosomal RNA
Source: RNAcentral
AUGAGUGCGAUAGAAGACGAAGAUAGAAUUAGUGCGCUCCCGAAUGACAUUCUGCUAGAAAUCCUCGAGUGCCUUGAUUUGAGAGCAGCAAUCCAGGCCAGCACCGUCGCGAGACGAUGGAGGCACCUCCCGUACCAACUCUCUCAUCUGCUCAUCAGCGUCACAGACUUCCACGACGAUGCUGGUCGAACGACAGAUCAGAUAAUGAAGGCAUACACAGAUGCAAAGACAAGGUUAUUGCUGUGUCCUCCAACACUGACAUGCGGUAGGAUCAUCAAGAGACUACAGCUCAGCUUCUACCUGAUAGACCCUUACUUGACCUCUAUCGGCAAUGCGGUCGGGGACGCCGUGAAGAGCGGCGAGACUGAAUGGCUCGAGUUCGCCGCGUGUGCAGAUGUGGAUCGUCCAAGUGAUGACCAAUUAGUCCUGUUCGGGCAGCGGCUCAUGUCAUUCUCCAAUGCUUGCCCUGGUGCCUUCAAAGCGCUCACAAAACUAACCCUGCAGAACCUUGCAUUUGAAAACUCAGAUGUCACCAAUCUCCUCAACACUUGCAACAAACUUAAGCUCCUUUCCUUGAGAUCCUGUGAAUUGGUCCAGGAAUCUUCCCUAGAGAUUGAUGCCCCAUGCUCGGAGCUCGGCGCGCUCGAACUUAUCUGCUUUGGGUGCAUACAAGUUGACCUAAUCUGCCUUCCUAAACUGAGGCAACUGGUCUACGAUACUUGGUACGGGGAAAACCCCUCGGUGUCUUGUGGCUGCGUUCCUCAGCUUGAUCAAGUAUGCUUGGCCUCUCCUGCCCUGUCUUGGCAGACACCAUUCGUGUUGAGCCAGUGUUUAUCUAGUAACAGCAACAUGACGGUUCUGCAUUUGAAUUUUCGCACUGAAAUGAUUUGGAUUAAGCCCGAAGAUCCACGACACCUCAGACCUAUAUUCAGCAAACUGAGAGAUGUGCAUCUGUACAACAUCUUUGCUGAGUGUGAUCUGAAUUGGACUCUGUUUAUCCUUGAAGUAAAAGUGUUAUUACGGUCUUCUUUGGGAUACAUAAACUGGGAGAACUCAUGGAUUGUAUGUAACUAUGAGGAUAGUGCCAGCAAGACCAACUUGGUGUGGGAAACAUCCAACUUCAAGCACUUGAACCUGAAGUUGCUGGCGAUGGAAGGGUUUGAGGAGGUAGAGAAGGUGAUGAAUUAUAUAAGGCUUGUCAUGGAACAAGCGGUCAGCUUGAAAAGAAUUGAGUUGCCAGAUAAAAUCCCAUGCAAGAAGUGCAAUGCUAUAAACCUUGAAUUGCCAAGAUUUCCAGUGGAUGAACUUAGCAAGCAACGGGUUAGGGAGAAACUCUCAUAUGGACUGUCUUCAUCUGCAGAGAUUAUAAUCGGAUGA